Molecule: ribosomal RNA, 525 nt
Filed under: uncultured bacterium
Lineage: Bacteria
Description: partial 16S ribosomal RNA
Rfam family: Bacterial small subunit ribosomal RNA
Source: RNAcentral
UGGGGAAUAUUGGACAAUGGGGGCAACCCUGAUCCAGCAAUGCCGCGUGUGUGAAGAAGGUCUUCGGAUUGUAAAGCACUUUCGACGGGGACGAUGAUGACGGUACCCGUAGAAGAAGCCCCGGCUAACUUCGUGCCAGCAGCCGCGGUAAUACGAAGGGGGCUAGCGUUGCUCGGAAUGACUGGGCGUAAAGGGCGUGUAGGCGGUUUACACAGUCAGACGUGAAAUCCCCGGGCUUAACCUGGGAGCUGCAUUUGAUACGUGUAGACUAGAGUGUGAGAGAGGGUUGUGGAAUUCCCAGUGUAGAGGUGAAAUUCGUAGAUAUUGGGAAGAACACCGGUGGCGAAGGCGGCAACCUGGCUCAUGACUGACGCUGAGGCGCGAAAGCGUGGGGAGCAAACAGGAUUAGAUACCCUGGUAGUCCACGCUGUAAACGAUGUGUGCUAGAUGUUGGGUAACUUUGUUAUUCAGUGUCGCAGUUAACGCGUUAAGCACACCGCCUGGGGAGUACGGCCGCAAGGUUGA